GGCUGCCGGCACGGCUUGUUUAUUAGGUACCGGGCCCGUGUGGGGCCAAACAUCCGUGCUUGCACUUGCAGGCACGCCCGGGGAGUAGGGCUAGCUAUAUUCCCAAGUCCUAACCAUGGCGCCGGCGCGUUGCAGCGGUGGUGGGCUCCCUCGGUGAACCCGGCAAGCAACGACGCCGCCCGUCCUCCUCCUCCGCCUCAUCGUGGUACGCGUCGUGGCGCUCGUGCUCGAGGGGGCCUUGAGCCCCGCGCCGCCAUGCUCAAUCCGGUCUCCGACGAUUGGCUCAUCCGCGACCUCAGACGGGUGGUCCUCGACGACGACGCGCUCGCGCUCUUCCUCCUCCGCUUUGACAAGCCAACCGCUCCUUGUCUGGCUUCGCCACAAGUGGCUCCACCUCCUUGCAUUCUCCUGCAGGAGUAGUGUCGGGUGAUUGCGUGGGCGCUGAUAGCCUGAAGCAGGAAGCAGCUGACCAUGAGGAGCUCACUAAGACGACGAGGUGUGGCCAUGCUGCCUUAUCAGACCUAGCUAGCUUACUGAUCGCAGACAAGGACGACGGUGCUUUUGAGCUGAGAUAGUAUGCCUGGUUGCAUGGAAUGAUAGAACAAGCAUGGUUUUAAUGGCCCAGGAAAGGGCUCAAUUUUGGGCGGCUAUUGGGUUUGUAGCUGCCAUGUCGUUUUUAAUUCUAGGUGAGAAAUCCUUGCUUGACAAGGCUAGCUAGCCGCAGAUUGCAGGUAAUUUCUUCUUUAUUUUUACCUCAAAGUAUGCAAAGGUAGCACCCACUUGCACUUGGCUAACUAUGUUGCAUAGAAAUUGGGUAAUAUCCAUGCCGGUGAUGUAGAUGUCGCCAGCUGCAAUGUAUCUACCUUUCCUAGAUUUGGAGUUUGGUUCCCUGUACCUGUCCUCUGCUCACUAACAAGAGCACUUGCCCUGUUGA
This is a long non-coding RNA of Lolium perenne, 934 nucleotides long. RefSeq lists it as uncharacterized. The record is from RefSeq and is a predicted model, not a curated record. Lineage: Eukaryota; Viridiplantae; Streptophyta; Magnoliopsida; Poales; Poaceae.